This 273-nucleotide small RNA is filed under the name Plasmodium praefalciparum (nom. ined.). RNAcentral's name for it is "Plasmodium sp. gorilla clade G1 ncRNA". Lineage: Eukaryota; Apicomplexa; Aconoidasida; Haemosporida; Plasmodiidae. The record is from RNAcentral.
AAAGUAAAAAGUAAAAAGUAAAAAGUAAAAAGUAAAAAGUAAAAAGUAAAAAGUAAAAAGUAAAAAAAAAAAAGUAAAAAGUAAAAAAAAAAAAGUAAAAAGUAAAAAAAAAAAAAGUAAAAAGUAAAAAAAAAAAAAAAAAAGUAAAAAAAAAAAAAAAAAGUAAAAAAAAAAAAAAAAAGUAAAAAAAAAAAAAAAAAGUAAAAAAAAAAAACCUAUUUAUAUAUAUACUUAUUUUUUAUUUUAUGCAUAUACGCAUUCAUAUACAUCACA